AUACGGAGGGUGCAAGCGUUAAUCGGAAUUACUGGGCGUAAAGCGCUCGUAGGCGGUUUGUUAAGUCGGAUGUGAAAGCCCCGGGCUCAACCUGGGAACUGCAUUCGAUACUGGCAAACUAGAGUAUAGUAGAGGCAAGUGGAAUUCCGGGUGUAGCGGUGAAAUGCGUAGAUAUCCGGAGGAACAUCAGUGGCGAAGGCGACUUGCUGGACUAAUACUGACGCUGAGGAGCGAAAGCGUGGGGAGCAAACGGGAUUAGAAACCCCGGUAGUCC
Molecule: ribosomal RNA, 274 nt
Filed under: uncultured bacterium
Lineage: Bacteria
Description: partial 16S ribosomal RNA
Rfam family: Bacterial small subunit ribosomal RNA
Source: RNAcentral